Molecule: ribosomal RNA, 509 nt
Filed under: uncultured bacterium
Lineage: Bacteria
Description: bacterial SSU rRNA
Rfam family: Bacterial small subunit ribosomal RNA
Source: RNAcentral
CGACGUAGUUUGACUCCGUGGCUCAGGACACGCUGGCGGCGUGCCUAACACAUGCAAGUCGAACGGAGAACUUAUGGAAUGCGACUUCGGUCAAAUGAAAUUUGUUCUUAGUGGCGGACGGGUGAGUAACACGUGAGCAACCUGCCUUUCAGAGGGGAAUAACGGCUGGAAACGGUCGCUAAUACCGCAUAACGUACAUUUAAGGCAUCUUAGAUGUACCAAAGAUUUUAUCGCUGAAAGAUGGGCUCGCGUCUGAUUAGCUAGUUGGUGAGGUAACGGCUCACCAAGGCGACGAUCAGUAGCCGGACUGAGAGGUUGAACGGCCACAUUGGGACUGAGACACGGCCCAGACUCCUACGGGAGGCAGCAGUGGGGGAUAUUGCACAAUGGGGGAAACCCUGGAUGCAGCAACGCCGCGUGAAGGAAGAAGGUCUUCGGAUUGUAAACUUCUGUUUUUAGUGAAGAAACAAAUGACGGUAGCUAAAGAGGAAGCCACGGCUAACUACGUG